GACGUAGGGGGCGAGCGUUAUCCGGAUUCACUGGGCGUAAAGCGCAUGUAGGCGGUUGCCCAAGUCCGUUGUUAAAGCCCCUGGCUCAACUGGGGGAGGUCAAUGGAGACUGUGCGACUUGAGGGCAAUAGAGGCACGUGGAACUCCCGGUGUAGCGGUGGAAUGCGUAGAGAUCGGGAAGAACACCAGUGGCGAAGGCGACGUGCUGGGUUGCACCUGACGCUGAGAUGCGAAAGCGUGGGGAGCAAACAGG
RNAcentral lists this ribosomal RNA (253 nucleotides) under uncultured bacterium. RNAcentral's name for it is "partial 16S ribosomal RNA". It matches the Rfam family "Bacterial small subunit ribosomal RNA", at positions 524 to 776 of the family's 1533-position model. The record is from RNAcentral.